Molecule: long non-coding RNA, 21425 nt
Filed under: Coffea arabica (coffee)
Lineage: Eukaryota; Viridiplantae; Streptophyta; Magnoliopsida; Gentianales; Rubiaceae
Description: long non-coding RNA (CARA_LNC007391)
Source: RNAcentral
UUUUUUUUUCAUUUUUUUUUAAUUUGUGAUUUUGACUUGUUUACGCACGUGGGUAUGUUCCGGUACGUAUUAGAUCGACGUGAACUGAUCCGUAGUCCUGGCGAGAGUUGGGCAGGCAAUCCGCUAACCCCUUUGGUUCGCCUUAGGGGAAAGUGGGGCUGUUACAAGUGGUAUCAGAGCCACUUCGCAUGGUCUCUGCGCGGAGUGAGACUGGGCCAAGUGGUGUUGUGGUCCUAAUUUCAUGAAUAUGUCUAAGUGCUCUUUUGAGCGUAAGUUAUGAACCGGGCAUGUAAUAAGUGUACGAAUCAUUAUCAUGGGACUCGAGGAAGUUAGGUAUGUAUGUCGGGUAGGAAUCUUUAAUAAGGAUGGUUUACUCUUGGGACCGGCCGGCUCGAGAUGUGAAUUAUCUUAGAUGAGAUUCUUGCGCCCGGAUACGAAAGAUAUGAGGGCCUAGGUUAGAAAGGAUUUGGUGAACUAGAAAGGCGAUUCUAUGGAACUUCGUGUGGUUUGUUUGGGUGUGGUUAAGCGUGAUCGACCUUGAUUAAGAUAUAAAUAUUUGGACGAAACCCUAGAAGGGGAAAAGCUUUUCGUGAGUUCUUUUGCACUUGUGACCUAGGUGUCUAUAGUACUUUUGGAGGACCCUUUUGUUUCAUGGAAUGACUUCGUAUGUACUUGACUGAUUGUUCCGUAUAAUUGCUUAACCUGGUUAUGUGAUCUAUGUAUACGUGUUAUGUGUUUAAAUGCUCUUCGCGGUAAUUGUUUGAGUUACUUAUUCUUGUUUCAUUGUUCCUGUCUGGUGCUACGGAAAGGAGGGUUAGGUGCCCUUUAACAGUAUAUUUAUUUGGUGACCUACAUUGACUUAGAUUGAUGGAAGGCACUCGGAGUGGUCGAGGCCGUGGACGCAGAACUAGACAACCCACACCGGUUAGGGGAAAGUGGGGCUGUUACAGAAGAUCUUUAUUUCCAUCCCAUGGAUCUCUUCACAGAUUGUACGAAAAAUCAAGUGGAUUCUGUGAGGACUUGUGAGGAUCUAAAAAUUAUUUUAUGUUUUAUCUUAUUUCUUUGAAUACGUUUUCUUUUACUUUACUUUAUUUGCUUUAAUUUCUUAGAUACUUUCAUAAGUAAGUCAAGAUUUUUAUUAUUUUUCUUCUAUAAGUUAGUGCAUGUUAAGUUCAUAGUGCAUUAUGGAAGUGGGGCCCACUAGUCAGGUGUGCUAUAAAUUUGGUGGACAAAAAUGGGUAUUUUACAAGAAAGAUUAUGUGAUUAGAAGUGUUAAGAAUAAAUUAGAGGAAAACAAUAUAGAUUAGUGAUUAGAGACUAAGGAAAGACAAAGAGAUAAGCUUGAAACCCUAAGCCACCACUUGUCGACAAUCUAAACCUCUCUUGAUCAAGAUUAGUCUUUGGCUUUAUCUUGAAAAAUUGAAGCAAAAGCCCCUUGUUCUUACCUUGCUCUUGGCUGAACCUCUAAGAAGAGAAAAGAGCAAAAAAAAACUCCAAUUCCAACUUGAUUUCUUGCUGGAUUCCUUGAGAAAUCCAUCCUGAAACCCUAAUCCAAUCCAUAGGAAGUUGUAUCAAGGAAGGAGGGAAAGCUUGUGUAGAGUGAUUUGGGGAAAAGAAAGCUCUUGUUUGCAUUUCUCCUUAGGGUUUGAAGGUAUUCAUGUCACGAAACUACCUUUUCUCUUUUAUCUUGCACUUGAAUGGAUUUAUGACUUGAUUAUGGUAGGUUUCAUAGAAAAUUUCUUAGUUUUGUGAAGUAGUUUGAAAUUUCCAGCUUUGAUUGAGAAAUUCCAGCCUUGAAAUGCUAAUUUCAGCUUUGCUAUGUCCUUUUAGUCUUGCCAUGAGGAUUUUCCAAUUUUUGUAUGCACUUUCGGCUUCAGUAUAGGAAUUUCCAGCUUUUGUUUGUAAAUUCCAGCUUAAGGUUCAAUUUUCCAACUUUGGUAUGGUUGUAUAUGAGCUAGGUAUAUGUCCAAUUUAGUUAGUCUUAUAGCCUAGAACAAGUAUCCCUUAUAUCUUAUAACUUGUGGUCUUGAUUAAGGUUCAUUUGCCAUGAAGUUAAGCUUUGAAUUUGGAAAAGAAACGUAAGGAAAUUAGGGGAGAUGCUGCUGGUUUUGUUUCUUUCUUUCUUGUAAGUGAGUAAGAGUGAGGGUAGAGGUGUGAUUUUUGGUCGGUUUGGAUUAGGUUGCUUAUGGUUGCUUGAAUCCACCUUGGUUGUGAUGCAUAAGCUGAAUUUUUGUAAAAAACCAUGUAUGAUACAAGGAGGAAAGUAAUGGUUGCUUCAAGCAUGUUCUCUAGUUGCAUUUGUCCGACUUUAAACUUGAGGUUGGUCAUUUUUCUUCCAAAAGUCAUAUGUAUAUUUUACGUAUGUUUUGCUGAGUUUCAUGAGUUAUAAAUACAUAAUAUUUCCCUUUUGUGCUCACGUUUCUUGGGUUCAAAUGCUUUUCUUUUACUCCAAAACUAUACUUGAAUCAUUGCCCUAGUAUGUACUUGAAUUUUUCCUUGGUUCACCUAAGUUUUGGAUGGUUGGACCAUAAUAAUUUUUUAUCUUGGUUGCUCUUAGGGUUUGUCGGUGAAUAAGAAUAACUCGAAGAUGAACGUUUAACAUUGCCUUGUUUUGAACUGAUGAGUGUACCACCUACAUGACAUGUUGCUUAGGUGAACUACUAUGCGACUGAAAAUUAUGAUUGUUUGAUCAUGAUUUUGGUUUACUCUUGGUUGGACGGGUGUGUACCUUAUCACACUCAACCCCACUUGAUUGUUGAUUGUUCUACUGUUCACUUGGAAUCUAUUACAUGUGCUUGAAUUGAAUGUCGUUUGGAACAUACUAUCCAAUGAUCACACUGUGAACUUGGGACCAAACCUCAUUGGUUAGUUUAUCGAAUCGAGCCAGCAAGGGAUUGGUCAAGGUAUAUUGACAAGCCAUGGGGAAACUAUUACUGAUUCACUAAGCUCUAGUUUUAUUCCAAAAUUUGGUAUACUCGAGUAUUACCUUCAUUGUUUGGUAUUCGGGCCCGGUGAGGCGAAUGAAUGGUGGACAGGAAUUGGUGUAAAGUGGUGAUUUAUGGACAAUAUUUCUGCUCCUCUAAACAUUGACGGUGUAUCAACGGGUUUGGAUCAAGCUACUACGACUGGGAAUUCAACUCUCGAGAGCUAACUAUAUCCUUUUACCUAAAUCACUCUAUGUUAGUUAUGGUUAGACCUGGCAAUUAUGUCCAAAACCCAACAAUCCACCUAACCCACCCACUAAUUUGAGAUAUUAGAUUGGGUAAAUUGGGUGUUGGGUCAAUAUUGAGUUGGGUAAUAAAAAUUCACAUAUAUUUUGGGCGGUAUGGGUAUUUGUGUUGGGCACCAUUACCCAACCUAAAAAAAAUAAAAAAAUUAAAAUCAAGGAACACAAAAAGACCAGCAAGUAGCAACUAUGUUUCCGGCGAAUAAACCUCGACCACUACCACCAGCUUCUCUGCCUUUACUCUUGAGCAAAUUCACAAGCCUCCUCCACAAAGAGUUCUUUCUUUCUUGCUAACAACGUUUUCAAUCAAAAGAAACAAAUUUUCAAUCCCACUUUGGGUUCAUUUUUGCUACCCCUUUUGCAGUUCUAUAAUCCCAAAUCCAAGCAGAAGUCACAAAAUCUCAUAUUAAAGCUGUCGAACCGUAACCCUAUUUGCUCUUGUGGUGUCCUUGGUUAUUGUUCCUACAUGUAUAAAGCCUUUUUUUGUUUCUCUAUAUUUUUAGCUUUCUGAGUACUAUUUUAUUUAAAGUCCUUGGUUGGUUAAAGAUCAAUUGGAAUAUUGCAGAUUUAACUAAAUUUAAACAAGUUGAAGAAAAAAGUCCUAACAAUGAGAUCUUGAACUUGCAUUGUUUCGUAUUGGCAUAUUUGUUUUUUGGGUUCCACUUUCUUUGUUCGAUUCUAACUGUUGGAUAUGUUGAUUGUGUAAUUGUUUAAUAGGGGUUCUGAUUCAUUUAUUGAUUGGAAUCGUUGUACUUCCCUUUCGUUUGAUUUGCCAUUAUCCUUUUACUCGAUAGUGUACUUGCAUUUCUUUAUUUUUAGUUGAACUAUUUUGGGCUAUUGCAAAAGAUUGUACUUUGAUUUUGUGUUUAAUGGAACUGACAGAAAUCCCCCACGAGGGCAAUAGAUUGUGGUUGUGUAUAAUUAUUGGGCUAAGUUGAUCUGCAAGCUUAGAGUAGUUGAUGAUGAUUAGAUGGAUGAAUUUGAACUUUGAUGAGUUUGAGUGACUUGCAUGUUUUCCGUGCUUAGAUUAAUAAUAGCAGUAAUUAGUGCUACACUUUCUCAUGUUCUCCUUACAUGUUGAUCCAUGGCUUCAAUUUUGAACUUUCUCAAAUUAGUUCAUCAUAUUAAAUUCCUAUACUAUAAUUAAUUACGUUUCUAGUGCUUACCUGAUUAUAUAUAUAACUGCUUGUGUUUGUGAUCUGUUGGUUGAGGCUUUAAAUAACUAGCUUCCUAUCUCAUACUACUAUUUGUCAACUGGAAGAUGAUGAAAUAAGAUUUGUUGGUAUUACUGCUGCACCAAUGGAGAGUACUUUUAAUGGUGAUAAUGGACAAACUAGAGAUCUCAUGGAUGUGAAUAAAAUUAAUUCAUAUGUUUUUGUAUUUUGUUUCAAUUUAUAUAAUCUUAAAUGUUCAAUAUUUAUGAUAUUUGCAGGGUUUUGAUGUGUACCAAUCUCAACAAGAGGCAGGUGGUAACAAAUUUGAGUUGGAGUUGUAUCUUGAGAAGCGACUAGUAGAUCGUAAGCAACAACCAGAUUUGAAUGUUUUGACUUAUUGGAAGGAGAGUAGAAUUAGAUAUCCUGAGCUUUCACUUAUAGCUCGAGAUAUCUUAAGUAUUCUUAUUACCACUGUAGCAUCCAAGUCUACUUUUAGUCAUGGUGAGAGAAUUCUUGAAAAAUUUUGAACUUCUAUGUUGCUGGAUAAUGUGGAGGCACUACUAUGUUCUCGAGAUUGGUUGUAUAAUAGUGAAGGUAAAUUAGAUAUUUGGUUGCAUUGACUGUUAAUUUUCAGUAGCUUAGGAUCUCUUUAAUUAUUUUCUUCAUUAGUUGAUUAAAUCUGCUAAAUUUUAGAGAGUCCUGAUAAAGAUUUUGAAGUUGAACAAGAAGACCAGGAGCAAGAUCUUGGAAUUGAUAUUAGUAGAUUUAUUGCUGAACAACAUGCAUCUUCAAAUAUUGAUACUUAGUAAGUAUGUCAUGUGAACUCAAUAUUUUAGAAUACGUGUUAUUGCUUUCUACUAUUAUUUUAGUUAGAGUUGUGAUUUGUGUUCCUGGUGUAUAAUGGGUAUGGUCAUGGAAUGUCAUGAUUUUUCAAGUUUCACUUUUGUUGUCUUAGCCUUUUGUGUUAUGAAUUUGAAUUGUAAUACUGCUAUCUAGUUUAGUUACUUCUUUGUCUUGCCACCAGGUUUUGUUAUACAGCACGUGGAGUAUUUUAUUAGAUAGAGGAUGACAUAUUUGAAUUUCGCACAGGUGAUAUUCUGUUUUUAACUCAUCUUAUAUAUCUUGUUGUACAAAGGUGAAUGGCCUUUCGCUGGUUCGAAAUUAUGUUGUUUGGGUAUUAUCACUACAAAAGCUGAUUCAAAGUGCAUGUCUUUUUCGAAGCAAUAUGUCAGCUUUAUUGGUAUCGAGGUAUUUUUUACCUCUAUGAUGUUGAUUCUUUGACCUACCAUAAGCGUUAUUAGUGAAACAUGAUACAAUGAUCUAAGAUUGGUAUUAGUGUGACAGCCCCACCUCCCCCUAAGGUGAACCAAAGGGUUUGGCGGACCGCCUGCCCAACUCACGUCGGGACUCAAACAUACACCUCAAGUAAAAAUGAAAAUAAGACCACAAGAACAAGUGUAACAAUGAUUCCAAACUUAAAACACAUACUUAUAUACAUUUCUAUCUCAAAAGCAAUACAACUUAAAUAUACAAAGGCUCUCAAUUCUUCAUACAUCCAACCCUUGCCAAGCGCCAGGGCGAGAACCAUUACAAAAAUUCAAAAGAACUACACUAGGCUAGUCUGUACAAAUCUCUCGUUCUUGCUCGCAUCCCCUGUUAAGGAAAACAAAACUAACGGAAUGAGUUAAAAGCUCAGUGAGGUUCCAGACACAUAAUCAACUUAAACAAGGACACUCAUCAUGUAAUAACAAGUAAUCCAGGAAAUGUAAUGAAGCAAUGAUAACACAAUCAUUAAAAAGAUACAUGCUCACAUGGAGCCUUUCGUUCUUUCAUUCACCUUUCUUUUCCUUAUUCCUCCAAUCAUUUUAAAAUGCAUUUUGUAAGUGAAAACCCCUCCAUUGACAUUAUUACUCGUUCAUUCAUUUCAUUCUUCCCCCUUUUGGACAUUGGCCAGACUCCACCCAACAACAUGGUAAUACUCGAGUAUACCAAACUUUCACCCAGGGUCACUAAAUCGUCCGACCGAUUCCUUUUCUGGCUCGAGUCGACCGGCAACGAAGGGCAAGGGCCCAGUUCAGCCAAAAGGCUUAUAUUCAUGCACAACUAACAUUUAAUCACUUAAACAUUGAAAAUUUCACAUUUCAUUUAGGUUGAGUGCGAUAAAAUACAUACUCGCCUAGCAAAAUUCAUUUGUAACAAACAUUUAUCAUUUAAUCAAAUAUCCACAACAAAUCAUAUAGUUCAUAGAAACAUAACAAACAAAGAACACUAACCUAUUUAAAUAAAAGAACGUCCAAAGUAUUCUUCCGGGUGAUACCCUCAAUCACCAAGGAACCCUAAUAUAAUCAAAAGAACACAUUAUGCUUCAACCAUCAAAGAUUUAAGUGAUUCAAAGAAAAUCUGAAUACUUACUAGUACAAUAUAAAAAUAUGAGUUUUAAAGUGAAAAGAGUACAUUUAGAUCAAAGGACAUGAGUAACUAAGGGUUUUCCAAACCAAACAUAAAACUAUACUCAAAAAGGUUUUUAGAAAAUUUCAUCGGAAAAUGAAUGAACAGUGCCACGUCAGAAUCCGGCCGGAUUUUCAGCCGGAUUCAAGGCAUUAAGCAUUUCAAUAUUUUUUUUCUUCUUCCCCUGUCAAUUUGGCCGGAUUCAUGGCCGGAUAUGAAGAAAACAUUUUUUCUCUUUUUCGUCAAAUUCUUUGUUUGGCUCAAAACUAACACAUAUGCAAGGAAAUAACAUAUAACAAUUAUUUCGAGUAAAAUUAUAUGCAAAAGGAAGAUAAACAAACCCUAAAUUCACACCUAAAGCCUCGCUUGAUAAAAUAGGUUUUGCGGCCGAGAAACCCUAUGCAACUCUUCUUUGUUUUGGAAAGAAAAUGAGUAAACAUUUGAAGUUCAAAACUUGACAUUUGUAACUAAGUAUCAUGCUUAAAACGGUUGUUAUAUUCACCAUGCGAAAAGGUAUAAGUUCAAGUAAACUUUCACUCAUCUAACACCACAAGAAUGGAUCCAAGUAUAUCUAAGCAAAGCAAAUCCAAAGCAUCACCAAAUCACAUUUCAAAUCUCACUUUUACUUAUUCAAACUUCAAGAAAAUAAACGGACAGCAUUUCCCCUUAAUUUCUUCAGUUUCCAUCCUACAACCAAACACCAAAUCACAUUGCAAAACAACCACAGUUUCACAUACAAAUCAUAGGCGAUAAAACACCUUUCGGCAUAACAACCACAACUGAAGCUACACUUAUCGGAUUUGAAACGAAUCUUAUGGCGUUUCGAAGCCAAGACAUAUACCUACAUUCCUUAUGAAGACCUCCAAAGCCAAAUCAUGCAUUUUCAUGGUCAAAUAUCGAAAUCACAUAGAGGACUGAAAACUAUCUGUGAAACAAGGCUUGUGGACAAUCAAGGGUAUUUCAGUCAUUUCACAAGCUACAGUGCUCUGAUUGAGCUGAAAUUUUGCAGGUAGGUAGAACUCAAAUCUCUACAACUUUCAUGUUUUAAGCAAAGGCUCAUUCGGUCUCUCUCAAGGUCGAACAUAUAGUGCAAAUAUAGGGCAGAUUACUACCAAAAUUGAAAACCCUAAAUCUGAAAUUAUGCACACAAACCAGAAAUUUCUUUAGGCAAAUGAAACUAACACCUAAACACAAGAUUUUCCAUACAUCAAAGCUAGUAAAUCAUGGCCAACCUUUAAUCAUCACAUGUGAGCAAAAAUUACACCAUAAAACUGAAAAUUCCUCAAUCACCACUUCAUAUCACAAUAGUCCUCAUAAAACUACAUAUUUCUCAUUUCUAAACCACUAAUAUGCCAUUACUAGAAGUUAAGAAGGAUUGUCUUGACAAAAUACCUUAUAACCACAAGAAAAAUGGUCGCUUAGGCUUUCCUCCUCCAAAACCACUCCACCAAAACCUUUAAACUUCCUAGUUGAGCACUUGUAUGGUGUAGUUUCAAGUUUGGUUGGCUAGAACACAAGAUUUAAGCAAGUUUGAAAGCUAAAAUUGAAGAACUCUCUCUUGUUUCUCUCCUCAAGAAAGUCGGCCAAGAAGCAAGAAAAAUGAAGGAAUUUUUUUGUCAAAAUUUGGUUUUAGUAAAGUGAAAUAAUCGUAGUCAAAGUCCAACUUCCAAUGAGUUCGCGACACAUGGCACCUUGAAUGUUUGAACCUUAUCUUCUCACUCCCAAUGAUUCAUUUAUCUAGCUAACCUCUUGAUACGGUCCUCGAUCAACUUGUUUCGAGACACGUAGCACGUUUGCCCAAGGAUCUAGCGAGGUUGUCCAACGAUUGGAUUGCGGAACCUAGAAUCAAACAGAUGACACGAUUUGAUUAUAGGCGGUAGAAUGACGACUCCACAAAGGUGGUUACUCUAAUGGAUAGGUCGGUAGAACAAUCUAGGACAAGACGCAAGAUUGCUCAAAACCAUUGCCAAAGCAAGUGAAAGGCUUGAAUUCUCUCUCAAGAAGAAGAACUGAAAAUUAACAAACUUUUAUUGAUAAAACGUCUUCCCUUAAACCUUACAAAGUUAGCCUUUUUAUAGGCUAAAGGUUACUAAAAAUCCUAAGGAAAGCAAUCGGCCAUCUUGGUGUCAAGAUCGGCCGGCCCAUGCUCUACUAAAGCAACUAAUCUAACUCCAAGUAAAUAUUAAGGCCUAAAGCCCUAUUGGGCCCACUCACUUGGAGGCCCACUUGAUUCUUCAUGGGCUUGGAUCAUGGUGUAGACGACUUGGUGUCUCCUUCUAGGCCUUCAAUAUCUCUAUGGACCCCAUGUUGGUCUUGGACAAUACGGACAAGGCCUUGGAGGGAUUUUUUGAAAAGCUUGGCUCGUGCACGUGUGACUGAGCCCAAUGGAACUCGGUUCGGGUCAUUGCGUGGGCCCUGAUCUGUGCAUACAUCAGUCCCCUCCUCUUGAGAAGGAUUUGCCCUCAAAUCUGAAUCCCCCUCUUCCAGGAACGAGCUCAAAUCCGCGACAUUGAAGGUCGCAUUAACAUUGUACUUCCCAGGUAGUUCCAAUUUGUAAGCAUUGUCAUUAACGUGUUGGAGCACUCGAAAGGGUCCAUCACCUCUUGCGGAUAACUUACUUUGUUGCUGCUUGGGAAAUCUCUCCUUUCGCAAGUGUAGCGAAACCCAAUCUCCAGGCUCAAAAACCAUCUUACGACGGUGCUUGUUGGCUUGCUGGAUAUAUUGUUGUGUAUGCUUCUCAAUGUUUGUCCGAACAACUUCAUGUAACCUGCGCACAAAUUCAGCCUUCUUUUUCCCAUCUAAGCUUGUGUGCUCAGAAGAAGGUAAGGGUACUAAAUCAAGGGGGGUCAGCGGGUUAAAACCAUAAACAAUCUCAAAAGGUAAAUAGUGUAUAGCACUAUGAACAGUUCAAUUGUAGACAAAUUCAACAUGAGGUAGACACUCUUCCCACGUUUUAAGAUUCCUUUUAAUCAACGCCCGAAGUAGGGUGCCAAGUGUACGAUUGACAAUUUCAGUUUGUCCAUCGCUGUGUGGAUGACUGGUGGUAAAGAAACCCCUCAUUGACAUUCGUUCAUUCGUAAGUAAAAUCCCUCAUUGACAUUCGUUCAUUCAUUUCAUUCACCCCUCCUGGAUGUUGGCCAGACUCCACCAGACAACAAGGUAAUACUUGAGUAUACCAAACAUUCACCCAGGGUCACCAUAUCGCCCGACCGAUUCCGCUUCUGGCUUGAGUCGAUCGGUAACGAAGGGGCAGGGCCCAGUUCAGCCAUAAGGCUUACAUUUAUGCACAAGUAACGUUUCAAUCAUUCAAUCAUUGAAAAUUUCACAUUCGUUUAGGUCGAAUUCGAUAAAGUACACACUCGCCUAGAAAACUCGUUUUGGCAAUCAUUGAGGGCACUUAGCAUAUUAUCCAACAAUAAUAACAAGCCAUGAAGUCAUGAAGUCAAGAAGAAUAUAACAAACAAGGAAUACUCACCUAUUUACACAAAAUAAUAUCCAAAAUAUCUUGCCGGAUAAUACCGUCAGUCACCGAUGAACCCUAAUAUAAUCAAAAGUGUGACGACCCCACUUCUCCCAAGGGCGAGCCCAAGGGUAUCGGCGGGCCGCCUGCCUAUCUCGCGCCAGGACUCAAAACUUAAAACAAUAAAAGCCAGAAAAUUCAAAAGAGUUCUAUAUACAAUCCCAAAAGAGUUAUAAUUACAUUCUCCAAAAGUACCUGCUCACACUAUUACAUCCUUAUAAGUACCACCAAAACCAAAAUGUAGACCCUAAGGAGGAUCCUUAUACAAACCACCAAAACUAAAACAAAAACAAACAUACUAUAAGUCCAACUAUUACAAUCAAACCUAACUAUGCUAGUGUGUGUGACAAAAGUCCCCGCGUCGGCCCCUGCUAAGGAAAACAAAAGGAAUGGGGUAAGGUAUAUGCUUAGUAAGUAAAUAGGGGCAAAAGCGUAAAUUUCACGUAACAACAGUGACAUAGUAAGAGUAAAGCAAAAGCAGAAAAAUAACACCACAUGAUAAGGAUACAGGUGGCUCCAAAGCCAAUUCAUAUGUCAUGCGUGAUCUCCUGCCGACACUCCGUCGACCACACUUAAUGGUCCGUAGAACUUCACUUGUACUCCCACCGACACCUUAUCACCCUCACUGGUCAGUCACCUCACAAACUUGCCCGGGCGAACGAAAUCACAAACUUGAGCUUGAGUCACAAGCUCGGGUCACAAACUUGGUUCACAACUCGGUGAACCGGAUUCACAAACUUGGUGACCUCAAAUCAGGUUGGACUAGGUUCGACCAAACCCUAACCGGCUCGAAUAGUCCCUCGAGGUAUUGAGAUCAGCCCCAAACUCACAAAUUUCACAAAAUUAUUCAAAAGUUACCCUGAGCCACAAGCUCAAGGGUUUUAGUUCCAAAAUUGCUCAUAUACACAAGCCAUGUACAGAUAUGUGCGCAAAUUAGGGUUUAGGUCGAGUGCGAUAAAGUACACCCUCGCCUAGAUACCCUCUUCAUACAAAUCGAAACACAUAAGCAACGAACACACAAGAGCGGCCUGAAUACUUACUCAAAAUACAAAAGUAGUACUAAAGCAAAAUCGCUUCGCAUGUGUUCGCUAGUAGUGGGCCCCACCGGCUCCGCCUAACUCACCACUGUCUGAAAUAGAAGAUUGUGUCAUAAUAUAUCACAAACGGCCACUAACAUACUUAAAACAAGCAAAACGACAAAAUUGGCACACGCAAGUGCGGAAACGGCAAAAAGGGCAUGCGCGCGCGCGCGGAACGGCAAACGGGACGGCCAAAUCUGCCAUUUCAAACCGUCUUGAUCAAAAGUUAGGCUAUGAGUGUCGGAUCAAGGUGGGUGAGACACCAUUUCGAAGCUAAGAGGAAGAGCUACAACUUUAAUUUAGACAUCUCAACCCAGAUCUCAAUAGGUAUAGGUCAAAAAUGCACGAAAUAGUGCCAGCUGUUUCAUUACGGGUUACCAAGCAGGCCCUGUUUGCAAGGCCGUAACUCACGGCUCCGAAAUCGAAAUCAAGAAAUUCCAGAGGCAUUAGAAAGCUGAGACAUAAGGCUAAAACUUUGAUGUUUUGGUCAAGACCUGAAUCCACUCAGAACAGAACGAAAGUUGAGUGUCAAAGUACCCGUCAGAACUGUCCGGAUACAAGGCAGUUCUGAUGAUCGAUUUUGUUUUGGUCAUAAGAGGAGCUACGGAACUCGGAUUUCGACGCACUUUAUACCGUUUUGAAGCCAAAAUCAAGAUCUACAUUUCUUAUGAAGGAGUCAAAACCCAGAUCAUACAGGAUCAAAACCGAAAAGUCACAGGCAGAAGCUAAACAAAAAAACGCACAGAAUCUGAUGUUCAAAACAGGCUUGAGUAUUUCAUCUAUAACUCAGGCUACGGUAAUCCGAUUGAUCUGAAAUUUUGUAGGAAUAUUCAGAACAUAUAAGGUUACAACUUUCAUGUUUUGAGGAACUUCUGAAUCCAUACGCAACAUCAAGAAAAAGAAAGCCGAAGUUCGGAUCCUGAACUGCCCUGAUUUUCCAGUUUUGCCGGUUUUGCGCGCCGCAACCGCACGAUCCGUUCCUAUGGUUCUUAUGCGAAUUUUCUAACCAAAUUGAUCCCUAACAACCAUACUUAUAUCAGUCUAAGAGUGGUCUAAAGUUCCUUCACAAGUUAGCCCAAGAUCACCAAAUACUAACCAUAAUCCUUAAUCUAGUUUUACUAGCACCAUAGAACUUGUUCUAAUCAUCCAAACACACAAACCCUAACUCAAUAGCCAUAGGCUACACUAAACUAACCUAAUGGAGUCUAGGGUUUCUAACCCAAACCAGAUUUUUGCUAGAAACCAACCAAUCAAGUGAGGCAAUUUAUCAAACACAACCACUACAAGGCAAUUUCCCAAUCAAAACAACUAAGGAAAGCAUUAAGCAAGAAACCCAAAUUUUUCUCUCUCUUGACCAAAAUUUCCAGCAGCAUAAAUCACCAAAAAUUAACCAUAAAACUUCAAUAAAACAUCAAAUUCACCAUAUAAAUCCAUAAUCAUAACAUACCACAUCAUUUCCAUAGCUUAGAAAGUAAAACCCCAACAUUUUAACUUUCAAAGAAGAUGAUUUACCUUUGAUUCAAUCUUUGUAGAUGAUCACCCACAACAAUCAAGUGCUCAAGUUGUUUCUCCAAUAUCCAAACUCAAGAUUGAAGAGCAAAAAUGAUGCACCAAAGCAAGCUUUCCUUUUCUUUUUUCUUUCUCUUCCUCUCGGCUCUCACUCUCUCUCUUUCUCUUUGUUUUGUUUUGUUUUGUUUUGUCUUGAGUAGCCUACAAGUCUUAAGGUAAUAUGGUCAAGACCAUAGGAGAUAUUUAUUAAGCUUAGCCAAUCACAUAAAAGCUCCUCAAUUGCACUUUUAACCCUUGCACUCCAACUUUCUCUUUCUUAUACAUUUUCCCUCAAACAUUUGAUAAUCUUUCAAUUAACUCCAUAGGUCAUAACUUAAUCUAAUCUAAAACAUGUAAUCAUGCUUAAUUACUUCACUAAUCACUUUCUUAUUUUAAUCACCUAUACUUAAACAUACUUUCUCCAUAUAUAAAAUAAUUAAUCAACAACUUAUAUAAUAUGGGCAAAAUUAGGGUUUUUCAACCCAACUUCAACGUUCUAAUAAAUCAUGACACUAAAGGUUUACUAAUCUAAGGUUUGUAAACUAAAACGAAAUCCUAUUUUUACUCGAGCCAAAACACACACCAUAAUACCAAACAGGAACUAUAACUUGAACCUACAAAUAACACAUAAACUAGGAUUUAAUCAUAAACAAAGUUAGGGUUUUCAAUCUUAGCCCUAAAACCUUAGUUUAACCGUACAAAAUAAUGAAUAACCCUAUAAUCAACUUACGAACGGACUGGGGCCUCACAAAAAGAGCACAUUAUGCUUCAACCAUCAAAGAUUUAAGUGAUUCAAAGAAAAUUCGAAUACGUACUAGUAUGAAAUAUAAAUAUGGUUUUGGUAGUGAAAAGAGUACAUUGAAACCAAAGGACAUAAGUAAAAUAUUUGUAAAACUUAUGCUCACUCGUAAAACUUUAAAAUUUCCAAUUGAGUCGAAGUGACAAAAAAACGUAUUUCUAUUAGUCGUAAAUUUCAUUUUUUCCAAGGGUACAAGUUUUGGCUAAGUUCGAACAUAUAUACCUCGAUAAAAGAAGACGCCAAUAUCAUAAAUAGUUCAAGUGGUAUUCGCUCUCAAGCCUUGCUCAAGUCGCAAGUAUAUCUACCUAGCCCUCGAGCGUAAAUUUGGGCAGCACGCCCUUUGUAUUUACCUAUUUUCCAGCCAUUUAUGGUUUCAUUAUUUUUCUCAAUCAAUCCCAGAGUCAUACACCAAAUCAUCUCAUUUCAAUAGCCAUUUCAUAGGCUCAAAGUCAUACAAGUACAAAAUCAAGCUAGGAACAUGUGCGGAAAUGAAGUUUGCGUCAAGAAACAAAAGACAGAUUUGACGUUGUUUUGCGUAACAAACACAACCGAGGCUACGCUUAUCAUAUUGAGGUGCAAUUUAUACCGUUUCGAAGCUAAGACAAAGAGCUACAACUUUGAUGAAAACCACUUAGUCCAGUUCAUAGUGUAUCUAGGUCAAACUUUCGAAUUACAAAACCAAAAUCUCACAAACAGGUCAGUUAACCGUGCUAUGCUUAAACGACAAUAACUCAGGCUACCGAAGUCCAAUUGAGGCGUUUCCAAUGGCGUUGGAAAGCUAAGACAUAAUACUCCAACUUUCAUGUUUUGGCUAAAUACUAGUUCAGUACAUAUCAUGGUGAAAAGACACGACCAGAUUGGUAAAAUAUUCAAAACUGAUCACUGGAUUCACCAAGGACAGUCAGGGUAUUUCGGUCUUUUCGCAGGCUAUGUUGCUCCGAUUAAGCUGAAAUUUUGCAGGCAACUAUAAAACAUCAUUCUCUACAAUUUAUGUUUUAGGCUAAGCCUAAUUCGGCCUCUAACAUGGUGAACUAGAACCGGGCAGAACAAGGUAUACCUUAACUUCAAUUCUGGAAAUUUGCUACAAUCAAAGGUAUAAAUCUCAUUUUUAGCUUGAAACCAUCACUACCACCUCAUAUACAAGCUUAUAUACAUCAUAUACCAACCACACAAUAAGUAUGAUAAGUGAAUCAUUCAAACCCUAACUCAAAUUCAUCACCCCCAACCAUCCAAAAUCACUUGAUACAAGUAUUACAAGCACCUUUGAACCACAAAUAAGCUAACAAUGAAUCUAGUAUUAAAAGUAAAGAGAGAUUUCUUGACAAGAUACCUUAAAACCACAAGAAGAUAGUGGUUUAGUCUUUCCUUCUCCAAAACAACUCCACCAAAAUCAUCAAGCUUCCUAGUUGAGCACUUGUAUGGUGUAGUUUCAAAUUUGGUUGGCUAAAACUCAAGAUUUGAGCAAGUUUGGAAGCAAGAAAUUGAAGAGCUCUCUCUUGUUUCUCUCCUCAAGAGAGUCGGCCAAGAAGCAAGAAAAUGAAGAUAUUUUGGGUCAAAUUUUGGUUUUUAGCAAAGGUGAAAAUGAGGUCAAAGUCCAACCUCCAAUGGGUUUGCAACACUUGACCCUUCUAGUGUUUUCUCUAAUCCUUUGGCUUCCAAUGGUUACAUCAUAUAACAAACCUCUAAUUACCCUCUAGCACCUUGUAUAAUAAUAACACUUAGCACAAAAAUCACUUAGUCACCAAAAUUAUAUCACACUAGCGGGUCCCACGUCUAUAACACAAUUCAAAUUAACGUACACUAACUCAUAUUAGGAAAAUAAUUUUAAAACUGUACUUGCUUGUAAAAAUGCAUAGAAAUUUUAAUAUUUCCAAGGAAAAUAUAAAUGUAGGCAAAGAAAUAAAAUAAUGUUGAGAAAAUAUGAAAAUUUUUGGGUUCUCACAUAUCAAUCAUAUGAUCGCAUGUAUGUUUACUAUCUAAUCGCAACCUGGCAUUUGUGGAUUGCUUGAUCAGAUAAUUAAGUUGUGAGCACAAUUUUCAAAUUAUCCAAUUAAGACAAUUCGUCUAGAUAAUGUUUGUGAAUACUCAUCACAUGUUUUUUAUGAUUAUUGCAUGUCCAUUGGAAUAACUGUUGAACAUCCUGUAGUUUAUGUUUACACACAAAAUGGUCUAAUCGAAUCAAUUUUUAAGCACGUACAAUUAAAUACUAGAUCAUUAUUGAUGAGAUCUAAACUUUCUUUUUCUACUUGUGGACAUGCGAUAUUACAUGCAACAACACUUAUGAAAAUUAGGCCAACAAAUUAUCAUACUUAUUCUUCUCUGCAAUUAACUUUUGGUUAUGAAUCCAAUAUUUCUCAUUUACGAAUAUUUGGUUGUGCAUUUUAUGUUCCAAUUACACCACCUCAACAUCGUAAAUUGGGCCUCCAAAAACGAUUGGGGAUAUGUAUUGGGUAUGAAUCACCUUUGAUAAUUAAGUAUAUUGAGUCAUUGACAAGUGAUUUGUUUACGAAAAGAUUUGCAGAUUGUCAUUUGAUGAAUCACAUUUUCCAAUAUUAGGAGAGGUAAAGAUUAAUCGAAAAAGGAAAAGAAAAUCACUUGAAAAAUAUCAUUGAAUUUUCUUGAUUCUUGUACAAAAGAAUGUGAACUAGAAGUUCAAAAGAUUAUACAUUUGCAAAAAAAUUAUAAAUCAAUUAUCGGAUGCAUUUAAUGACUCCAGAAGAGUUACCAAAUCAUAUAUUCCUGUUAAAAAUAUUUUGAUUAAAAUUAAUGUCCCUGAAAGAUAAUUUACAAAUGCUAAUAAAUCUAAAAGUACGCCUAAAAUGUGGGAGAACUCUUGGUUCCAAAGAUAAAAAUUCUCAAAAGAAAAGAGAAUUAGAUAAGUCAAUAAUUAGUGACAAAAUUUAACCUCUCGAAGAGGUCACUCUUAAAGAGCCAACUCUUGAAGAGAAUGAAAUUAUAGAAAAUUCAAUAAAUUUCGUCACCACAAGGAAAAGUUGGAACUAAAGAAAAAUAAUUGUUGAUAGUAUUUUGGCAUAUAAUGUAACACUUGAUAUUAUGAUAGAAGACGAGAAUCAUGAGCCUAAAUCAGUUGAUGAAUGUCGGUAUAAAAAUGAUUGACCAAAAUGGAAAGAUGCGAUACGAUCUGAAUUAGAUUUAUUUGUUAAAAGAAAGCUUUUAGAUCUGUAGUCCAAACACCUGAAGGUGAAAAGUCAGUAGGAUAUAAAUGGAUAUUUGCGAGAAAAAAAAAUGAGAAAAAAUAAAAUUGUAAAAUAUAAAGCAAGACUUGUAACUCAAGAAAUUUCAUAAAGAUUUGGAUUUGAUUAUGAUGAAACAAAGGGCCUGUUUGGAACCUGAGUUUUUUAGGAGUUUGUCUAAAACUUUACUGUAGUGCACUGUAGAAGUUUUUGAAAAAAUUUUGUAGAAGUUUUUGUUAGGUGAAAAAUUUUGUAAAAGUUUUUGUAAGGUGAAAAACUUUUUUUUUUCUUUUUUUUUUCUUUCCCUUUCUUUUUCUUUUUCUUUUUCUUUUUCUUUCUUUCCUUUUUCUUUUCUUUCCUCUCUUUUCUUCUUCUUCUUCUUCUUCUUCUUCUUCUUCUUCUUCUUCUUCCCGGUUACCUCACCACCCCAGCUGCAACUCCACCUCCCGCCGUCCCCCUCCCCCGCAGCCUCUCUCUCCCCCGCCUUCCCCCCCGCAGCCCCCUCUGCCCCUUCCCCCGCCUUCCUCUCCCCCCGCCGCCUCUCUCUCCCCCAUCUUCCCCCCCGCAGCCCCCUCUGCCCCUCCCUCUCCCCGCCUUCCCUCUCUCCCCCGCAUUCCCUUCCCCCGCAGCCUCUCUCUCUCCCCGCCUUCCCCCCGCAGCCCCCCUCUGCCCUCCCCCCGCCUUCCCUCUCUCCCCGCCGUCCCCCUCCCUGCCCCCUUCCCCUUCCCCGCCGCCUUCUCUCUCCCCAUCUUCCCCCCCGCAGCCCCCUCUGCCCUUCCCCUCCCCCGCCUUCCCUCUCUCCCCACCGCCCCCUCUGCCCCCUGGCCGCCCCUCUCUGUGUCACCCCCCUCUGCGCCAGACGUAAGAGAGAAAAAAAAAAAAGACAAGGGAGGAUGAUGGCAGGGGAGGAAGAGGGGGAGAGGGAAAAAAAUGGGGGAAAAAAAAAGACCGGCACCGGCACCGGAAAUUGGUGACGGAGCCGGCAAUGGAGGUGGUAGUGAGGGAGGAAGAAGAAGAAAAGGGGAAGGGAAUUUUUUUUUGUUGUGUUUUGGAUAUUUUAAGUGUGUAGGUUAAAAACUUUGAUAAGUUUUUUGGGGUUCCUGUAGCAAAAGUUGUUAAAAAACUAGUUUUAUACAAACUUGGUAAACCAAGCUUCUAAACAGGCCCAUAUUCACUUGUAGUGGAUGCAAUCACAUUUAGAUAUCUUGUGAGUUUCGCAGUGCAUGAAAAACUUGAUAUGUGUCUAAUGGACGUAAUUACUAUUUAUUUAUAUGAAAAUCUUAAAAAUGAUAUUUAUAUGAGAAUUUUCGAAUAAUUCAACAUGCCUAAAGUAUGUAAAUCAAAUGCUAAAGAUAUUUAUUCUCUUAAAUUACAAAGAUCUUUGUAUGGAUUCAAACAAUCUGAAUAUAUGUGGUAUAACCACAUCAAUGAAUGUUACCAAUAACCCAAUAUGUCCAUGUAUUUUUAUCAAAAAAAAAGGGGGUUAAAUUUUGUGAUAAUUGCUAUAUAUGUUGAUAAUCUUCAUCUAAUUAGGACUCUUGAAGAGAUCCAAAAUACUGUGUUGACCUUAGUCCCUAACUUUUGAUGUUUACAAAACAAUGGAUAAUACUAAUAUCUUUUCAAGAAAUACUUUCAGUUAUGAAUCAAAUUAGAUUCAAAGAUUAAGCACAUCUGAAAGGGACAAAGUAUGUUGAAGCUGUCGGACGCUCAAGAAGACAGGAUCGGACGUCCGAUACUCAUUGCGCAACUUAGGACGCAUGAAAAACUCCAUCACCGGACGUCCGAUAGGAUCCUUCAAAGUCGACAAAACCAUCGAACGCUGAAUAUGUCUCUACCGGACGUCUGAUAGAAACAAGAUGAUUUCUCAAAUCUCUUUGUUUGCUAUCGGACGCACAAAGAACUUGCACCGGACGUUCGAAAGAAUUGAAGAAAAUCUCUUAAACUCACUGCCUGCCGUCGGACGCAUAAAACAGGGCUAUCGGACGUCCAACAGUCCAACGGCUAGUUGACUCUUCAGCUACUUUCUAUUUGUUGGAAGUAUUAAUGAAGCACUUUCUUGAUCCUACAUAAAUAGUGGUUGGUCAGAUAUUUCAAACAACUUUUGCACACUGAAGAUACAAAAGAUCUUGAGUGAUUUUAGUGAGAAAAUACUCUUCAAAUAAGAUUUGUAGUCUUAGUGGUGUGAGGUUCAUUGUAAGCUUUUCAUUUGUGAGUGAAUACUUCAUGAGUGUAGCUCUGUGAGGGUUGUCCUGAGAGAUAAUAAAACGUCCUGACUUGACCAAGUGGAGUUUGGGGCAAGGAGGAGGUGAACCUUCUUUUGUACACAAGAGUGAUUGUAAUUCAUCAACUUGAAGUAGUUUGUUUGAAUUAACCUACAAGCUCAAGAGGAGUUGGGUAGUUAAUUGGUUUGCUAUUCUUUCCUUUUUAUUUACUUAUUGUUACGUUUGAGAUAUUUACAUUGUUUAUCUCUUCCACUUGUUUGUCUUCGAUCCUUACAUACUAUUAAAUGUUUGAAGAAAAAUUUGAGAUUAAAUAUUUUGGAAAGACAAAACUCUACCUUAAUUUACAAAUUGAGUAUUUGUAAGGUAAAAUUUUUGUCCACUAAACUACUUAUAUCCAAAAAGUAUGAAAGCAAUUUUAUAUGGAUAAGACACAUAUAUUAAGUACCCCAAUAGUCGUUAGUUCAUUAGAUCUUAAUAAGAAUCCUUUUAGACUAUGAGAGGAAGAUGAAUGAUAUUUAGUCCUAAAGCACUAUAUCUCAGUGCGAUUGAUGCACUAAUGUAUCUUGCUAAUUGUACAAAAUCUGAUAUAUCAUUUGUAGUGAAUUUAUUAGCAAGAUUUUGCUCCUCUCCUACAACAUUGGAAUGAUAUUAAACAUAUUUUUUGCUAUCUCCAAGGAAUAAUUAAUCUUGAUUUAUUUUAUUCAAAUAAAUCGAAACAUGAAUUGCUUGAUUAUACUGAUGUUGGAUACUUAUCUAACCCGCAUAAAAUAAAAUCCCAUACUGCUUAUCUAUUUACAUGUGGUGAUGCAGUUAUUUGUUGGCGAUCUACAAAGCAAUCAAUAGCAGCCAUUUCAUCGAAUCAUGUUGAAACAAUAGUAAUUUAUAAAGCCAGUCGAGAAUGUGUUUAAUUAAGAUCAAUGACCCACUACAUCCAAAAGAGUUAUGGGUUAUCCUGAGAGAAAGAAAAUCCUUCAACUAUAUUAUAUGAAAAUAAUGCAACUUGUAUAACUCAAUUGAAAGGAAGAUACAUUAAAGCAGAUACGACGAAACAUAUUUCACCAAAAUGCUUCUUUACUCAUAAUUUGUAAAGAAAUGGUGAAAUUGAAGUGUAACAAAUCCAAUCAGAUAAUAAUUUGACAGAUUUAUUUACCAAGGUAUUACCAACUACAACUUUUGAGAAAUUGGUAAAGAAUAUUGAAAUGCGUCAGGUAAAAAAUCUCAAAUGAUGUUUGCAUCAGAGGGAGAAAUUAAUACACAAGAAUAGUGUACACUUUUAAUUUCAUUAAGAUUUUUGUCCCACUAAAUUUUUCCCUAAUAAGGUUUUAACAAAGCAUAUUCUGUGUAAUGGACAUUCAAGUGAAAGUGUUAUGAAACAACUAAAGAUGUGGAUGUGUAUUCUUGAGAAGAUUGAUUCAUGAAUCCUCCACAAUAUUCAUUGAUACAUUGAAUGAAUUCUAUUGUUGUUCGUUAGUUCAUUAAUAGAGCCAUCCUAUUCCUUAACGAGUAUUUAAUAAGGUUCAUGUAUGUGUAAUCUUAUAUUACUCAUAUAUAAAGGUAUCAUAACCUCUCUUGUAACAACUUUUGAUCAGUUAAAAUAAUAAAAAAAUAGUUCUCAUUUCUCUCUCAACUUCUUACUUACUGUUCCAAUCCUCAUUUUAGUAAUUUAUUUUAUUAAUUUCACAACAUACUUUACUUUAUUUUUAUUUAUUUGUUUGUUUAUUGGGAUUUCAAAUUCCCUACAAGCUUGUUAACCCUCACUAUUAUCUCAAUAGAUACAGAACCACACAUUCCAUGACGCCUAAUAUUUCUCUGUUAUAUUGACACAUUAGACAGCCAAAGUAACAAAAUACAGUCAAAGAGGAACGGUUUCCUGGCUUUUAUGUUCCUAUGGCCGCCGUUCUUGACUUCUUCUCCAAUCAAAAAUGACAGGUAAAAUAGAUUUCUUGAUUGCAAACGACUGAACAACGUCAAAUACCAUUGAGAGUGACGGAGUGAUCAACCAUAGCUUUGAUCUUUUAAGAAUGCAAUUUCUUACAAAUUACGAACUGGUUGCACCAAUAAGAAUAUAUACGACAUAUUUCACUCACUAAAGAUCUAUAAUGCAUGUUUUUACAAGAUUUAGUGUGAUGCAAUUCAAUCUGCUCUCUGCAACAAAUAAACUCAAUUUAUCCUUGAGCUGUUCCUCCUUCCCCACCAUUUUUUCCUUCCCUUGUCCCCAGACCCCUCGUCACUUCC